Molecule: ribosomal RNA, 717 nt
Filed under: Triticum aestivum (bread wheat)
Lineage: Eukaryota; Viridiplantae; Streptophyta; Magnoliopsida; Poales; Poaceae
Description: partial small subunit ribosomal RNA
Source: RNAcentral
AUGAUUUCGGAGGUGCACAGCUUCGGCGUCCGGACCAGCAAGUACACGGAGAAGGGCUUGCCGAUCCUCGCCAGGCAAACCAGCACCCCGAAGCCGGACCGGUGGCUGAUGCUGGAGCUCCGCGGAGACGGCCAUGACGAGAUCAUGCUCGCCAUACGAAAUGACAACCUCUACAUCGAGGCCUUCGCCAACAGCUCCGGGAAGUGGCACACCUUCGCCAACAUCCGCAACCUCAUCCCACGGGCCACCAUCCUCCCCUUCAAGGACAGCUACAGGGGGCUGGUGAACGGGCACGCCAACCUCGGGAUGCUGGAGCUCGGCAAGGAGACCACGCUCCGGGCGCUCCACGAGUUGGCCGUGUACAAGCAGUCAGUUGGCGCCGACACCAGCUGCGUCUCCCGCGCCCUGGCCAUAAUGGCUGUCACCUUCUGCGAAGCAACGCGCCUCAGGCCAAUCCAAGACUACAUCCUGCCCAAAUGGCUCUCCGGUGGCGCCACGAUCCAGAAACCCUUGUAUGUGGUGAGAUGGUCCGACAUGUCCUGCGCCGUCCUUGUUGCGCGCCAGAAAAAGGGACGCUACGACGGGCCUGAGGCUGUCAAGCUCAAGGACGAGUUGGGCAUGACAAGCCUGAAUGAGGUCGUCGGUGCCCUCUCUCUCAUCCUCUGGCCCAAGGACAACUCCUGCGACUCAGGCCCCAUCACCUGGCCUAGGGCAUGA